GAGCUCAACUUGGCAGUAUGUUUUCUAAAAUUGGAAUGAUACAGAGAUUAACUUCUUGCCCAUUGCAAGGAUGACAUGAAAAUUUUUGAAUUGGUCCGUAUUUUU
Molecule: small nuclear RNA, 105 nt
Filed under: Jaculus jaculus (lesser Egyptian jerboa)
Lineage: Eukaryota; Metazoa; Chordata; Mammalia; Rodentia; Dipodidae
Source: RNAcentral